Ctenopharyngodon idella (grass carp) is the source of this 2623-nucleotide long non-coding RNA. RefSeq lists it as uncharacterized. Lineage: Eukaryota; Metazoa; Chordata; Actinopteri; Cypriniformes; Xenocyprididae. The record is from RefSeq and is a predicted model, not a curated record. The transcript has 4 exons.
AGUGAAAUGAUUAAAUCCCAAGUUUUUGGCAAUAUAGGCACUUCAUAAGACCAGAUCAGAACGAACCAUCAAUCAUUAAUUUAACCCUUCUAUCGCUUCUUAGGUGGGGUAUCCAUUUUUUCAACUACACUGUUUGGAGGUUAGUCGGGCCGAUAUCAACAACAAUCAUCUAACCAAUCAGCAUUAGGGGGCGUAUGACGGUCGUGGAGACAGAACGAGCAAGAGGGAGAUUUGAAAAAAAAAGAAAAAAAAAAAAAAACGCAGAAAGAGUAAUGAUGAGACAUAAUACAAAACAGCUCACUGGAAUGAAGGUUUAUGACUGAGCAAUUGCUUUAGGACCUGUGUUCAUUUUAGAAAAGCUUUCCAGCGCUGGAGAGAACCUGAAAACAGACACGGAGGCUGCUUUGAACCCGCUUUUCAUUGUAUCAUAAUUUGUGCAUGCAACAAAGAAGAUGUGCAUUUGUGGAUCAGUGUAACACCACACUGGCACCGCCUCCUAUAAAUCCAGCAGAAGUUUCCAAGCUUCAAGCGGCAUUCUUUUAUCAAAGCGAGGUCCUCCAAGGUUACCAAGAGCAACUAAAUAAACUACAGUCUGCUAACAAAUACCUCACGCAUUAUAUCCAGUCGCUUCCAGCCACCACGCCGAAGAUGGUAAGCUUUGCUUUACCUAAUAAGUUUGAUGGUUCAGCGGAGCAAUGCAGAGGGUUUAUUCGUCAAGUUUAAUUUUUUUUUUGAUAAUCAAGACGAUCAGUUUGAGUCUGAUGAAAAGAAGUGUGCCUUUCUCAUGUCUUUGCUCACGGGCAAAGCUAUUGAUUGGGCUCCAGCGGUUUGGGAAUCUGAUAGAUCUUUUUGGACAUCUUACAGCUACUUUACUUUUUUAGCAAAUCUGGGCCGUGUUUGAAUAUCCUGCGGGAGGCAAAGUUAUUUCCUCACAGCUGCUUCAUAUGAGUCAAGGUAACCGCACAGCUGCCGAAUACGCCAUUGAUUUUCGAAAGCUCGCUGCUCAGAGCGGCUGGAAUGAUGUCUUGCUAAAGGCUGUGUUUCAGAAAAGCUUGAACAUUGAAUUACAAACUUGCAAAAGGGAUAACUGUUCCUUUUCUGAAUAUGUGACUCUAGCUAUUAAAAUUGACAAUCUCAUGAGAAAUGCUCUAAGAAAAAGACCAAUGCGUUUUUCACAGCUAUUUAUUCCAGCCAAACAAACAUCACGGUCAUUUAGCCAAGUUUCAUCAACUACAAACCCAUCUGAAAACCAGCCCAUACAAGAGCCCAUGCCACUUGGUUUCACUAAACUCUCUGAAGAAGAAAAACUAUGAUGACGCAUGCACAAUAUUUGCUUCUACUGUGGAGAGGCAGGCCAUCAUAGCACUGAGCUCCGGCCAACCUGGCAUCUCACUCGAGUUAAUGGAUCGGUGCAGUCAGUCUUAAUGGGACAGCAUCCAAAUUUACCUGCUGUCAUUAUUAAUGCUAAUCAAACAACAAAAAAAGAGAGAAAAUCUCUCACUGCUUGCUUUUGUAACUUUAAUAAGAAUAAAUGUAUAUUUAAUUUUCACAGUAAAGACUAUGCAUUGUUUUUUUUAUACCUUUGAUUAUUUUAUACAUUUUCUAGUGCUUGAAGUUUUUUCAUGUAGGUCUAUUUCGUCUGUCUUUGUUCUAUUGUAGUUUGUUUUCUUUUCUAUUUCUUUAUCACAGUUUAUUUGUCUUCCGUAUGCUUAAGUUUUUUAGGCUAGUAUUAUUUUUUUAAAUUAUAUUGAAAUUGAUGAUAAUUAUGAAAUUUCAAUGAUAUGGAAAAUUUUGAUAUCAUAAAAAUCUUAUUUAAAGAAAAAAUAACUAUAUUGUGAUAUAAAGAUUUUGGUCAUAUCGCACAGCCCUAACUGACAGAAGAACUCAGUUUACAUCUCAAGUUUGGAAGGCUUUCUGCAGACAUCUAGACAUCAACAUCAGUCUCACUUCCGGCUACUAUCCCCAAUCGAAUGGACAGGUAGUAAGAUUAAAUCAGGAUAUUGGCAGGUACCUGCGUUAAUACUGUAGUCAUUAACAGAAUUUCAUGAAUGGAAUUUCUACCGGAGGCUGAGUGUGCUCAAAAUUCUCUAACAAAUUUAUCUACCGGAUUAACCCCAUUCCAGUGUGUUGUUGCCGACAUCCCCUUUACCAAUCAGGACAACGGGUCUGGCUCUUUUCAAAGUAUCUUAAGUUGGGGCUACCGACCAGGAAGCUCAGCCCCAGUCCACCCAUCUGCUGACCCCAACACGGAGAACCAAGAACCACCACCACUGCUGGACAUUGAUGGAUCACCAGCAUACAAGGUGACAGAACUACUGGACUUUAGGCGUAGAGGGGGUCAGCUCCAAUAUUUGGUGGACUGGGAGGACUUCGGGCCUGAGGAGAGAUCUUGGGUAGCCGCCCACGACAUCUUGGAUCCCACAGUCAGACAGACCUGCACCUCGGGCACGAGGCAUUACGUCAAAUGAGGAAAGACAGCUGUGCAUCACUGCAUUCACGACUGCAGGUCAAACGUCUCUUGAGUCUCUUCUGACAUCUGGAGCACAAACACCAGACCAGACCACUGAGCAGAGGAGAGAUUUUGUGCUGAAAGAUUUCCUGAGCUCAGAUUCUUCUGGAUUUC